GACGAACGCUGGCGGCGUGCUUAACACAUGCAAGUCGAGCGGUAAGGCCCUUUCGGGGGUACACGAGCGGCGAACGGGUGAGUAACACGUGGGUGACCUGCCCUUAGCUCUGGGAUAAGCCUGGGAAACUGGGUCUAAUACCGGAUAUGACUCCAUGACGCAUGUUGUGGGGUGGAAAGCCUUGUGCGGCUAGGGAUGGGCCCGCGGCCUAUCAGCUUGUUGGUGGGGUGAUGGCCACCAAGGCGACGACGGGUAGCCGGCCUGAGAGGGCGACCGGCCACACUGGGACUGAGACACGGCCCAGACUCCUACGGGAGGCAGCAGUGGGGAAUCUUGCGCAAUGGGCGAAAGCCUGACGCAGCGACGCCG
RNAcentral lists this ribosomal RNA (369 nucleotides) under uncultured bacterium. Its description in RNAcentral is "bacterial SSU rRNA". It matches the Rfam family "Bacterial small subunit ribosomal RNA", at positions 28 to 399 of the family's 1533-position model. The record is from RNAcentral.